CAAAGGUUUGGUCCUGGCCUUUUCAUUAGUUCUUAGUAAAAUUACACAUGCAAAUGUCCAUUAACCAGUGAGUACCCCCUUAAAGAUCUGAUAUUUUUCUGAUCCUGAGGAGAAGAUAUAAAGCUCUCGCAAGUAGCUCAUAACAUCUAGCUCAGCCACACCCCCACGGGAAACAGCAGUGAUAAAAAUUUAGCAAUAAACGAAAGUUUGACUAAGUUAUACUAAUUAGGGUUGGUCAAUUUCGUGCCAGCCACCGCGGUCAUACGAUUAACCCAAACUAAUGGAUCAACGGCGUAAGGCGUGUUUAGAGGAUAACAACUAAAUAAGAUUGAAUCUUAACUAAUAUGUAAAAAUUCAUAGUUUCAGAUAAAAUAUGCUACGAAAGUGAUCUUAAUAACCUUGAACACACGAAAGCUAGGAAACAAACUGGGAUUAGAUACCCCAUUAUGCCUAGCCAUUAACAGAGAUAACCUCCGAACAAGGUUACCCGCCAGAGAACUACUAGCCAUUGCUUAAAACUCAAAGGACUUGGCGGUACUUUAUAUCCACCUAGAGGAGCCUGUUCUAUAAUCGAUAUACCCCGCUUUACCUCACCUUUCCUUGCUAAUCCAGCUUAUAUACCGCCAUCUUCAGCAAACCCCUAUAGGGCGCUAAAGUAAGCCCAAUAAUUAAACAAUAAAAACGUUAGGUCAAGGUGUAGCUUAUGGAAAGGAAGUAAUGGGCUACAUUUUCUCUCAGAGAACAUACGCUAUCCUUUUUGAAACAAAAGGACAAAGGAGGAUUUAGUAGUAAAUUAAGAAUAGAGUGCUUAAUUGAAUCGAGCAAUGAAGUACGCACACACCGCCCGUCACCCUCCUCAAAUAUUAAAAUUACACACAAUACUUAAUACCUGUAAUAAAUAUAUGAGAGGAGAUAAGUCGUAACAUGGUAAGCAUACUGGAAAGUGUGCUUGGAUUAAU
RNAcentral lists this non-coding RNA (959 nucleotides) under Eozapus setchuanus (Chinese jumping mouse). RNAcentral's name for it is "12S ribosomal RNA". It matches the Rfam family "Bacterial small subunit ribosomal RNA". Lineage: Eukaryota; Metazoa; Chordata; Mammalia; Rodentia; Dipodidae. The record is from RNAcentral.